Molecule: ribosomal RNA, 465 nt
Filed under: uncultured bacterium
Lineage: Bacteria
Description: partial 16S ribosomal RNA
Rfam family: Bacterial small subunit ribosomal RNA
Source: RNAcentral
GACGAACGCUGGCGGCGUGCUUAACACAUGCAAGUCGAACGGAAAGGCCCCUUUGGGGGUACUCGAGUGGCGAACGGGUGAGUAACACGUGAGUAACCUGCCCUUGACUUCGGGAUAACUUCAGGAAACUGGGGCUAAUACCGGAUAGGAAUCCUUGCUGCAUGGUGGGGGUUGGAAAGCUUCGGCGGUUUUGGAUGGACUCGCGGCUUAUCAGCUUGUUGGUGGGGUAGUGGCUUACCAAGGCUUUGACGGGUAGCCGGCCUGAGAGGGCGACCGGCCACAUUGGGACUGAGAUACGGCCCAGACUCCGACGGGAGGCAGAAGUGGGGAAUAUUGCACAAGGGGCGGAAGCCUGAUGCAGCAACGCCGCGGGCGGGAUGACGGCCUUCGGGUUGUAAACCGCUUUCAGCAGGGGCGAAGCUUGUGGUGACGGUACCUGCAGAAGAAGCACCGGCUAACUACGUG